UCCACUCACUUACUGUGUUUUAUGCUAAGCUAAAGCUAAAGAAGUACAGCCGGGUCAGGAGAAUGACUGGGCUGGUUUCAAAUUGAUUUUUUCCACUUAUCUAACGUUGGGAAAUGUGUCAACAGAUAACAUUUCAGUUGGAAUAUCCCUUUAAGACAGAUCAGAUUUAAGGUGUUGGAGGAUAAACGCUGAUCCACAAAGUCUCAAAGUCGGGGUGCACAUGAAGGAAGACAGGAAGAUGAACAACUAACAGCUCAGCGUGACUGAAACAUGGAGAGGCGAGCAGAGCUCCUCUGUAAAUCUGCCGUUUGCUGUCCUCUGAGAGGUCUGCUGCCCCCGCUGCAUCAUCCACAAGACCACGAUGUCCCACUGUUUGCAAUUAGGAGUCAGCCUGCAGAAGAGUCAGGAGAAGCACGGACUGCAGGGUGGCUUUCAGCCACCCUGCAGUCCGUCUGCUUAAGAGAGAAAUGCCUGUUGUGCUGAAGCACCCGGAUGACGCAGAAGCAGAACGACUUCUUCUGCAUGCAAACGGCCCAGUCGAGCUGAUGCCGGUAACUUCUGGAAGUGACGAGGCCGUGGAAGCAGUCUUCUGAUAAUAUCGUCGUAACACAUGUAACUCCAUCAGACAGUACAGUAUGAAGCAAAUAUGCUGUGCUGCAGCGUCGUUCAUUUCUGCAUGUUCUGUUUUAAACUCGGCUGUUUUGCUUGCUUUCAGCACCCCCUGGUGUCCGUUAUUAAAUCUCUGUGGUGAAACCAAAAGAAAACGAUCUCCUUGCUUCAUCUUUUUAAUCUAACAGCUGAAAUGUCUCCCCAGCCUUCAUUUGCUUGAUUCAAAUCAGCUGUGUUCAUGAUCUGAAACGUGGCUGGAGACUGCAGCACCAGUUAUGUCAGCCCAAUCAGGCCUGCCAGUCUGAAGUUGCAAAUGCGGUAUUCUGGCCACAGGGGGGCGCUGGGGGUCUGAGUGACAUUUCAUUAACCCUGUAAAGGUUCAUUUCAGCACAUACUGGCUCAAGAAACUCAUUUAAAAUAGGAAAAACUUCAUCUGCUUCACUCCCACCAGCGUUUCUUUAUUUUUUGUGUUGCUAUAAACCAUCUGGCUCCUGGUUUAUUCCUUUAGAUCGACCUAGAUGUGCAUGUAAAUGCACCUCAAACAGCUCAAAAACUCUGUAAUUUAAUGUGUUGUAUAAAUAAUUCUAUCAGUUUCCUGGGUGUUUCUAUGGAAUUUGGUCAUUUACAGCUGUAAAUAUCUCCUCCAACAUGAUUUAACCAUGAAUGAAUCCAUUUUUAUGUGGAAGUGCCAGUCUGAUCUUACCCACAUCCAUACAGGAGGAAUCGCUCCAUCACUGUUUAAGAUAGAAAGUCUUCUGAUGGUCACUGACAUUUAGAUCUGACUAAAGGCCAUCUGGUCUUUGCAGCAUCUGCCUGAAUGGUGCAGACUUAGCGCCCUUCAUCUUAAGAGCUAAAACCAUUAAAUCACCCAGCCUCUUCAGACAUUUAGGAUUAUUAUAAACUCUGAGGAAAUGAAAGAUUCAUAUCACCAAACCCAGAGACCGGAGGAACAGGUGAUAGAGCCUCCUUUAUUGUUAAAUGAGAGGAUUAAAUUACUGGCUAUAAUUCAGGAAUGUCUGCAAGAUAUAUAAAUCAUGUGGUUGCAAAAUGCUGCAUGAAUAUUAGAUACUUUAUUCUGUUUGCACUAAGAGGGGAAAACGCACAAAGUGAAGAUUUGGUGGCACGUCUUCCCUUGGCACAGCAGAGCAGUAACAGUAUGUGUCUACUCAAAAUAUGGUGUCAGCUCAGACUGCUCUCCAGCUUUGAUGAGGCUGAUGUGCCCGUGUUUCUGGUAAGCUCUCUGAGCUUCUAUAAACACAUCCUGUCUGCAGGCAGAUUUGUCUCUUCAUGGUGAAUUUAGAGGAAAAAAUCAACAAGCUGUGUCUUUCUGCUCCUUUAUGGAGGAAAAAACACCAAAAACACAACAGUCAUGUUAAGUCUGUUGAAGCAAAGCUUUAUUUUAUCCUCACUGAUGGACAAAGUCACCCAGAAAUGAGUCAGGCAGCAAAUGAGAUGUGAGGAUGAACUCUGAAACUGUCUCCUGUCAGUCUGGCUGCAGCUCUUCUGCAGGGCAGGAAGGAUCAGUAGUUUCCUCGUGCAAAUAAAUAUUUAAAUAGCUGAAGAUUUCAUUUGGAGUCAAAUAUGUAUUUUAUUAACUAAAUGCAGAGGUGGAAAGUAACGAAUUACAUUUACUCACGUUACUGUAAUUGAGUAGCUUUUUUGUAAAUUUAUACUUUUUAAGUCGUUUUUAAAAUCUGUACUUUUACUUUUACUUGAGUAAGUUUUUUAAAAAGAAUUGUAAUUCGCUACAUCAUAAAUCAUAUCCGUUACUGAGUAAAAAUAAAUUGUAGGCUUAAUAAAUUAAAAAUAUUACGUGUAGCAGCGUCGGAACAGAAAGAGACACCUGCAUGAGCGCCGCGUCUAAACCGGGGAGGGGUGGCUACACGCUUUAUAAUGAGGACAAACAGCCAUUUUUACCGCAGUUUUGCUCAAAAACAUCAGUUCAGUCCCUGUGAUCCACUCGCUGUUUACCUCCUCUCCUGUGGGUUGGAACACGCACCUUCGCGCACCGGUGUGACGUCAUCAGAAUUCUGCUCGGUUCGGCAACCAGACUCGGUUCCGUGUUUGAAAUGUGUUUCCUUACCGCGCACGGAAGCGGCAAAAUUACGUUUAGCGCUCCUAAGAAGCGGAUUCUCAGCGCUCUGCUCAUAAAACAGAAGACCUGCAGCCUGCAGGCCUCUGUGAGUUAAUCCUGAUACUGUUCAGGUGUAAACAUUGUGCUCCAUCCCUGUGUUUGAACUCGGACGUUGCUCCUUGAUGCCACAGAUAUGUGAUGACUUAGCUUGUUUCUUUAUUUUACUCCAGAAUAAGAGAUUAAAUUAUUACUAAAGCAGUUCAGUGUAGUUAAAUUAGUCAUUCAAAUGAUUCUAACAUGCUGCUGUGUGUGUGUGUGUGUGUGUGUGUGUGUGUGUGUGUGUGUGUGUGUGUGUGUGUGUGUGUGUGUGUGUGUGUGUGUGUGUGUGUGUGUGUGUGUGUGUGUGUGUGUGUGUGUGUGUGUGUGUGUGUGUAGGACUGCAUAAGACAGCAUGGCUUCAUCAAAUCCAUGCAUCCUAUAUCUUGGCUGAAGUAAUGGCUCAGGAAAAUAACUUGUAUUUAAUAAACAAUUAUGUCUCUACAGUGUUUAUGAUAAUGUUUUAUCUUAUCUUUGGUCUGGGAGGUGUAACAUAUCAUGAUGCAAGCCUUUUAAAACAUGUUAAAGUGUUACAAGAGGAGAUAAAUGCAUGAAUUUGAAGUUCAUGUUUGGAGACCAACCUUCACAGUUUGGAGGCUCACGCUGGUGAGGAGACACCAUUAGUUCUAGUAACACCUGGGCUCCCAAGGCCUGUUCUGACAGGAUGGACGUUCCGGGACCCUUAAGGAUUCCAGUUGGAUGAUUGGAGGAUUAUUUAGGAGGAUUGGGAUGAACAAACUGGUUUCAGUGGUGAAGGGUUAAAGGUAUCGGCUCGGCAUUAAAAUUGUAGAAAUGCAAAAUAACUACACUUUAUUAUCUAUAUAAACAUGUACUGGGUCCAGUUUUUUAUUUUAUUAAGGACUUUUGUCAUAAAUCAUUACAGAAAAUCCAAAUCCUCUCCUCCAGACAGUGAAGAACUGUGUUUCGCAUACGUCACUCCAGCACGUAAAACAAGCUAGCUGCUGAUGCUAUAUUGUGAAUCACUGUUAUUUGUUUACUUUGAUGCUCCUAAUUAUUACAUAAAAUUGCGUUUACAGCUGCAGCAAAAGGUCUGAGCCAUGUGUCUGUGUCCUACACGCAUUUUUAAAUAACAGGUCUGAUCUAAAAUAAUAACUUACAUCUAUAAAUCCAUCUAGAA
Nothobranchius furzeri (turquoise killifish) is the source of this 3917-nucleotide non-coding RNA. Lineage: Eukaryota; Metazoa; Chordata; Actinopteri; Cyprinodontiformes; Nothobranchiidae. The record is from RefSeq and is a predicted model, not a curated record.